Pongo pygmaeus (Bornean orangutan) is the source of this 1357-nucleotide long non-coding RNA. RefSeq lists it as uncharacterized. The transcript is spliced from 4 exons. The record is from RefSeq and is a predicted model, not a curated record. Lineage: Eukaryota; Metazoa; Chordata; Mammalia; Primates; Hominidae.
ACUCCAGUGACUGCCUCUCAGAAAAGAACAGGGCAAUGUCCAUUCUCCUUUUAUUUUCUUUAAGCACCUGAUCAUUCUAAAAGCAUGUGUUCCUCUGUGUGUGUGAGUUAUGUACAUGUGUGUGUGUUUCCCUUUCUUUUCUCGGACUCCAGGCUCAUGACUGCUUAUUUGCAUGGUGUUUCGGUGUCAAAGGAGUGUCAAAUGUCUUCUCCACAUACCCAGCUUUAUUCUACUCUAGGAGUUUAACUUCUUCAACAUUGUUGUGGGGUCCCUGGUGACCUCAGUUUCUCCUCUCCGCAUCAUCCAGGACUUCACCUGAAGCUUGAGCUACAUGUAAGGCUUCAUAUACCUUGGACAGGGCAAUGGAGAGAGGAUGGCAUACCAGAAUCACCAGAUGACAGACAUCGGGGUGCCGUUGGACCCGGGAAUCAGAAUCUCUGCAGAUAGGUAUUUUGGAAGGUGCUCCCUAGAUUGGCAUCUCUGAUUCCUGCAAGUAGACUGACAGCUGCAUGUUUGCAGGAAAGUUAAAUAUUUUGACAGCGCAGAAGACUGCUGCAUCUGGAGGGUUCUGGGUCCAGCUAUAACCAGACUUGCCUGUCCUAAACAAGUGGAUUGACUGCUUCCGGCGUCCUCACUUUACUUCUGCAUGGUGACCAACAUCCGGAGCUUAAUUACCUGACAGCCAGGAGAUAACAAAAAUGUCACGCCUGAGUCCUUGACAGCAACUCCAGAGGAGCUCCAGGUUUGAGGCAGCGCUGGCAGGACGUGGUAUAUCUGCCAUCUGAAGCCCUUCAUUGCCCGCCUGGCUGUGAAUCUCACCUCCUCUGUAGUGGAAAACAGGCCGAACAGACCUGGCAGGCAGGUAAGGGACAGCAAACCUUGCAGGGAGGGCCUAGUGCUGAAGCUAAGCCAGCCCUUUGAGUUCAAGCUCAAAGGCAUGUGAUGCCAGCUUUGCAGGGGAGCUAAGAUUCUUCCGAGAAAAAGGAGAAUGAGAGAGAGAUACGCAGCUGCAGUGGAGGACUUGGAAGAGAACAACGCCAGGGCCUGGAUCCUGCAAGAAUCUCCUCUGGAAAAGCAGGGGAGAGAAAAGCAGGAAGGAACAGGGUCACCGCAAGUGUGGGAUUUGUCUUAUUAAAAUCUGAUACUGUGUGGCAGUUUGCUUCACUCUUGGUAUAAGAAGUCUGAGCUCCAUGUUAAAGUAAAUGUAAGUAAUAUAAAUCUGCCUUUCCCGAGGUGAAAAUAGAUCCAUAUUAUUUAAAAUAUGAACGGAGAUAGAUGACAGUUACAAACAUUAUACUUGUUCUUAUUAUAAUUCUUAGUAAGCUCAAGGAAUAAAAACUGGGAUGAUGAAAAAGAA